AUGCAAGUACCUUUUUCUAGGAGGUUUAAGAACUUGUAUAAGCACCUGUAUUCUCUGCAAUGCAAAAUUCCAACCCUACAGCCCUUGAACAAUGAACAAGGAAAUUUCGGAGUCCUUGUUUCACUGCCUCCGAGGACGUGGGAGCCACCACCACCGUUGCUUACUUCCACAACUAAAAGUCCUAGGUAUCUGUUCUCGCUCCCUAUAAGUUGCCGUUUUCAUAUCAUGAUUAUGUUUUCCAAUAAGAUUGGCAGAAAAAGAUUAUCGUUUGCAAUGUUUUUUCAAGGAAAAGCUCCCUCGAGGGACAUUUCUUGUGAGCAACAUAUUACAUUUGAGUACAUGUCACUGCUAAAAACAUGA
RNAcentral lists this ribosomal RNA (360 nucleotides) under Triticum aestivum (bread wheat). RNAcentral describes it as "partial small subunit ribosomal RNA". Lineage: Eukaryota; Viridiplantae; Streptophyta; Magnoliopsida; Poales; Poaceae. The record is from RNAcentral.